GACGAACGCUGGCGGCGUGCCUAAUACAUGCAAGUUGAGCGCUGAAGGUUGGUACUUGUACCAACUGGAUGAGCAGCGAACGGGUGAGUAACGCGUGGGUAAUCUGCCUUUGAGCGGGGGACAACAUUUGGAAACGAAUGCUAAUACCGCAUAAAAACUUUAAACACAAGUUUUAAGUUUGAAAGAUGCAAUUGCAUCACUCAAAGAUGAUCCCGCGUUGUAUUAGCUAGUUGGUGAGGUAAAGGCUCACCAAGGCGAUGAUACAUAGCCGACCUGAGAGGGUGAUCGGCCACAUUGGGAAUGAGACACGGCCCAAACUCCUAAGGGAGGCAGCAGUAGGGAAUCUUCGGCAAUGGACGAAAGGCUGAACGAGCAACGCCGCGUGAGUGAAGAAGGUUUUCGGAUCGGAAAACUCUGUUGGUAGAGAAGAAAGUUGGUGAGAGUGGAAAGCUCAUCAAGUGACGGUAACUACUCAGAAAGGGACGGCUAACUACGUG
This 497-nucleotide ribosomal RNA is filed under the name uncultured bacterium. RNAcentral describes it as "partial 16S ribosomal RNA". It matches the Rfam family "Bacterial small subunit ribosomal RNA", at positions 28 to 507 of the family's 1533-position model. The record is from RNAcentral.